GCCAAGCUAUGUUGCGCUAGCUCAUGACUCGAGCGAGGGCAUUGAAGUGGCAGAAACAACAGUUUGACUCAUCUUGCAGAGUUGGCGGUUGCAACUUGCCGGCUCACCCAUUCUAAAUUGUGAGUUAGGUCAUGUGAAGGCUCGAGCCGUGUGUCUCUUUAGACCAGAGGGCACACCGUGAGGCUGCUUUCACAUAGCAGCGAAAACCUCCCACUCAGAACAGUAUAGGGAUAAUGGGUCAGUGCCCGCCAAUCCACAUUUGCAUGAUGGGUUCAGAUGAAUCACCCAUUUU
RNAcentral lists this signal recognition particle RNA (292 nucleotides) under Prunus dulcis (almond). Its description in RNAcentral is "sRNA ncRNA". It matches the Rfam family "Plant signal recognition particle RNA". The record is from Rfam by way of RNAcentral. Lineage: Eukaryota; Viridiplantae; Streptophyta; Magnoliopsida; Rosales; Rosaceae.